UCAGACGGGGGGAGAGAGAAUGGGAAGAAAGACCGCACCAGCCUCGGCCACAGAUCCACUGCCUAGCUGCAUCUGCAUCCCAUCUUCAGGUACACCACACUUUUGCUGAUCGCGUGUUUCGUUAGUGCUCUGCAAUCGAACCCAUUAGAAUUCAGGUACCGGAUUUCUGCUCCGUUCACUGAUGCUUCCUCCUUGUUUUCUCACCCGUGUCGUCCGGUCCGGUAGCUGCCUGCCUGCCUGCCUCCCGGUCUCUGCUUCUCGUGGUUCCCUGUUUCUCCCCUCAGCUGUGUACGCUACAGCCGUGGUCUCAACGCGAGUCAUGGCGCGCCUCUUGUUCCAUCUGAUCUUCUUCUUUCCCGAACAUCCAAGUAAUUUCUUCUUUCCCAAACAUCCAAGUAAUAUCUCCUCCGACAGUCAUCAAUAUGCUGUUCAUUUUGAUCAAGAUUCAAGAACAAGCUGCACUAUUCGACGAAAACAAGAUGCCCUUCCAUCCAAACUUUAGCGCCCACUCCAGAUUCUGUUAAUUUUCCACAGCUCCAACACACCAGCCUUUAUAUGUUUUUUUUUCUUUCAACUGAAACAGACCAACAUCUCUGUCUUAAACUAUUGGCAUAUGGAGACUGCCUGAAACUGACCCUUCUACUUGCCUUGUACCAUGUUGGUUCUCCUUACCUUUAUUUUCCCUUUCGCUUUCGCUUGUCGGCCAAUAACUCUGACCACAAAGAUUCAAAGAAAAACAUGUUGCAUCCUGAACCACACACCAGUCACUCUUUCUAUGGAUUUGAACACAGUUUUCUCCUAUUUCGAUGAACAGAUAAAAUCAUAGCGAGUUUCCUGUCGUAGUUGUUGAUGCUGUGGACGAUACAAUCAAUAUGGUAACCAUUGAAACAUAGUGUAAGGCCAAACAAACUACCUGAAACGCUUCGCAGGAUUCCCUUGAUCCUCCUUUUCAUGGAAGAGACAUGCAGCUAUGCUGCGUUUGCCCAAACAAAGAAGAAGGGGUAAAAAGGAAGCCUCGGU
Molecule: long non-coding RNA, 1020 nt
Filed under: Setaria viridis
Lineage: Eukaryota; Viridiplantae; Streptophyta; Magnoliopsida; Poales; Poaceae
Description: long non-coding RNA (SVIR_LNC002529)
Source: RNAcentral